AGGGUUGUAGCUCAGUGGUAGAGUGCUUGUCUAGCAUGUAUGAGAUAUUGGGUUCAAUUCUCAGCACCACUU
Molecule: transfer RNA, 72 nt
Filed under: Ictidomys tridecemlineatus (thirteen-lined ground squirrel)
Lineage: Eukaryota; Metazoa; Chordata; Mammalia; Rodentia; Sciuridae
Description: Spermophilus tridecemlineatus (thirteen-lined ground squirrel) tRNA
Rfam family: tRNA
About the family: Transfer RNA (tRNA) molecules are approximately 80 nucleotides in length.
Source: Rfam by way of RNAcentral